Molecule: ribosomal RNA, 500 nt
Filed under: uncultured bacterium
Lineage: Bacteria
Description: partial 16S ribosomal RNA
Rfam family: Bacterial small subunit ribosomal RNA
Source: RNAcentral
GACGAACGCUGGCGGCGUGCUUAACACAUGCAAGUCGAACGGGUCUGCCCUGUUUUUUGCGGGGUGGGUCAGUGGCGAACGGGUGAGUAACACGUGAGUAACCUUCCCCUCACUUCUGGAUAACCGCUUGAAAGGGUGGCUAAUACGGGGUGUUCUGGCUGUGCCGCAUGGUGUGGCUGGGAAAGAUUCACUUUUGUGGUGUUUUGGUGGGGGAUGGGCUCGGGGUCUAUCAGCUUGUUGGAGGGGUGAUGGCCUGCCAAGGGUUUGACGGGUCGCCGGCCUGGGAGGGUGGGCGGUCACGCGGGGACUGAGAGACGGCCCAGACUCCUGCGGGAGGCAGCAGUGGGGGGUAUUGCACAAUGGGCGGAAGCCUGAUGCAGGGACGGCGCGUGAGGGAUGGAGGCCUUCGGGUUGUGAACCUCUUUCGCCGGUGAAGAAGGUCCUGCUCUUUGGGGUGGGGUUGACGGUAGCCGGGUUAUGAAGCGCCGGCUAACUACGUG